GCCUGCUGCUGCUACUGAGCCUCUCCUUGCUGUUGGGCUUCCUGCAAGGUAAGCUUCUGGGGGCAUGCUGAAGGAUAGUGA
Loxodonta africana (African savanna elephant) is the source of this 81-nucleotide microRNA precursor. NCBI's taxonomy places the organism in Eukaryota, Metazoa, Chordata, Mammalia, Proboscidea, Elephantidae. The record is from Ensembl.